Molecule: ribosomal RNA, 795 nt
Filed under: Weissella cibaria
Lineage: Bacteria; Bacillati; Bacillota; Bacilli; Lactobacillales; Lactobacillaceae
Description: bacterial SSU rRNA
Rfam family: Bacterial small subunit ribosomal RNA
Source: RNAcentral
UANUUUUUUUUNNNNNNCUCAGGAUGAACGCUGGCGGCGUGCCUAAUACAUGCAAGUCGAACGCUUUGUGGUUCAACUGAUUUGAAGAGCUUGCUCAGAUAUGACGAUGGACAUUGCAAAGAGUGGCGAACGGGUGAGUAACACGUGGGAAACCUACCUCUUAGCAGGGGAUAACAUUUGGAAACAGAUGCUAAUACCGUAUAACAAUAGCAACCGCAUGGUUGCUACUUAAAAGAUGGUUCUGCUAUCACUAAGAGAUGGUCCCGCGGUGCAUUAGUUAGUUGGUGAGGUAAUGGCUCACCAAGACGAUGAUGCAUAGCCGAGUUGAGAGACUGAUCGGCCACAAUGGGACUGAGACACGGCCCAUACUCCUACGGGAGGCAGCAGUAGGGAAUCUUCCACAAUGGGCGAAAGCCUGAUGGAGCAACGCCGCGUGUGUGAUGAAGGGUUUCGGCUCGUAAAACACUGUUGUAAGAGAAGAAUGACAUUGAGAGUAACUGUUCAAUGUGUGACGGUAUCUUACCAGAAAGGAACGGCUAAAUACGUGCCAGCAGCCGCGGUAAUACGUAUGUUCCAAGCGUUAUCCGGAUUUAUUGGGCGUAAAGCGAGCGCAGACGGUUAUUUAAGUCUGAAGUGAAAGCCCUCAGCUCAACUGAGGAAUUGCUUUGGAAACUGGAUGACUUGAGUGCAGUAGAGGAAAGUGGAACUCCAUGUGUAGCGGUGAAAUGCGUAGAUAUAUGGAAGAACACCAGUGGCGAAGGCGGCUUUCUGGACUGUAACUGACGUGNGCUCGAA